RNAcentral lists this long non-coding RNA (968 nucleotides) under Cricetulus griseus (Chinese hamster). Its description in RNAcentral is "lncRNA (ENSCGRG00015032898.1)". The record is from RNAcentral. Lineage: Eukaryota; Metazoa; Chordata; Mammalia; Rodentia; Cricetidae.
GCCGAGACUGUUUGGGGGAAGAAGCUGACGUGGACUCUUGCUGCUGCUGUCUAGCUUUUCUUCCGCUAGCCCAACCUAUGGCUUCCACAGCUCAAUUUGUGUACUUGUCUACCAGGCCGCCUUCCAAAAAUGUUUCCAAAAAAACCCUGCAAAAGGAAGAAUGAAUUUAGUGAAUAGCAGUUUCUCACGUUGCUCAUCGCUUUGAGAUGCUACUCCGUGCACACUGUUUUAAAAGGAAACUCCCCAUCUUUUGACAUCAAUAGUUUCUCAUCCGGGAUUGGAAAGUAUUUGUAAGAUUCCAAGCUUCACAAGAAAAAGAAGGAAAAAAAAAAAAGCACCACCUCUGGAACAAUCCACUUCUCAGAGUCUCCAUUCCUGUGUGAGGGAAAUUCUUCUUAGAUACAAUCUGAGCCGUGGGAGAACUCCUUGAUUCUUGUUCAGCCUGCUUUCUUGCAUAACCCAGAACCACCUGACCAAUGGUGACACCUCCCACAGUGAACUAGGCCCCUCCACACCAAUCAUUAGUCAAGAAGAAAAUGCUACCUAGAAACUUGACUACAGGCCAAUCUGAUUGGAGCUGUUCCUCAAUAGAGAUUCCCUCUUCCCAGGGUCUUUCAAAGGAACCAAUGGGAGCCAACUAGGAGAGCUUCCAGUGAUCAACAGUGAGAACAUUUGAGGAGGAAAUAACGUGAUGUUGGAGGAUCAGGGUGUAAAACAAACACCUGUGAAUCUGCUGAUACACGCAUGUGGCUGAAUGAGUUAACAGAGAAGAAGGAAGAAACCUCCCAUGCAGAAUUUCAAAUAGUUGCUGUAGAGUCUGUGAAGACACAGGAGCACAGGACUCUGACCCUUGUUAUGGGCUGUGGUUGCUUCCUUCCAAAGAGCACAUUAUAGAAACAGGAGGAAAGAGCACCUUGGUUGUGAUGAAAGCGGCAGAAUCUCCCAGAGCCAGGGCAAGUGAACAAUGA